RNAcentral lists this non-coding RNA (200 nucleotides) under Oscillospiraceae bacterium. Its description in RNAcentral is "6S RNA". It matches the Rfam family "6S / SsrS RNA". Rfam says of the family: E. coli 6S RNA was the first non coding RNA to be sequenced, but its function was unknown until recently. It consists of 184 nucleotides that fold into an extended hairpin structure with a large single-stranded internal bulge. Lineage: Bacteria; Bacillati; Bacillota; Clostridia; Eubacteriales; Oscillospiraceae. The record is from RNAcentral.
CGCCUCCUGCUUGGUGCGUGCUGUGUCCGUUUGGACCCACAUCAUUUAUUUGGGAUGCUUGACUUCCCUGUUGGAUUGCAGACCUCCCGCCUGCGCUUUGACGUACGGCGGACGUUGGGAGCAGCUAAAACAUGGAGCGGCGACCCACCUGCCUUUUCGUGCAGGUCAUACUCGGAUGCACACGGCCAAAGCGGGUUCAA